Molecule: non-coding RNA, 26 nt
Filed under: Arabidopsis thaliana (thale cress)
Lineage: Eukaryota; Viridiplantae; Streptophyta; Magnoliopsida; Brassicales; Brassicaceae
Also listed under: 1 other name
Source: RNAcentral
UGAAGAAAUUCAACCAAGCGCGGGUA